CCAGGAAGUAUUUUUGCUCAGUGACAUGAAGCAGCAACAGGACAAUUAUGAGUCUGCAAAGGGAUCACGUCACAAGAAGGUUGCAUAUGGGGGGAUGAAAAACCCUCAUCCUUUUGCUACUCCGAUGCGACCAUGGGCACCAGGCUCCUCUGCUGUGCAGCCCUUUGCCUCCUGGCCGCAGGUUCUUACGAUGCCAAAGUUACCCAGACGCCAGGACAUCUGAUCAAGGAGAAAGGACAGAAAGCGAGCAUGGAUUGUACCCCCCAACAAGGACAUAAUUCUCUUUACUGGUAUCAACAGAGCCAGAAUAAAGAGUUGGAGUUUUUGGUUUACUUUGAGAACAAGGAACUUUUUGAUCAAACAGAGAUGCACAAGAAGCGAUUCUCAUCUAAAUGCCCCCCAGACUCACCCUGCAGACUGGAAAUCCUGUCCUCUGAACCCGGAGACUCGGCACUGUACUUCUGUGCCAGCAGUCCAUCCACAGCGCUGAAAUGUCAGUUCCUCCUAGCGCACAAACUCAUCACGGACCCAACUCAGGAAGCAGGUGAUGUGCUAGGUUGGAAGGAAGUAACAGAAAUUAACUGGAGCUAGCUUCAGCCAACAUGGGAUUUAACACAAGGCUACAGGGUGUUUAGCAGGAGUCAGGAAGUGAUGGGCAGGCAAUUCUGCAAAAGCCCCACUUGGGCCAGGCUCUGGAGCAACUGUCUCUCCAGCUCUCAUUUCUCUUCA
Microcebus murinus (gray mouse lemur) is the source of this 729-nucleotide non-coding RNA. The record is from the annotation of a RefSeq genome assembly. Lineage: Eukaryota; Metazoa; Chordata; Mammalia; Primates; Cheirogaleidae.